UACGGAGGGUGCAAGCGUUGAUCGGAAUUACUGGGCGUAAAGGGUGCGUAGGUGGUUUAAUAAGUUAUCUGUGAAAUACCUGGGCUUAACCUGGGCAGGUCAUAUAAGACUGUUAGACUAGAGUAUGGGAGAGGGUAGAGGAAUUUCCGGUGUAGCGGUGAAAUGCGUAGAGAUCGGAAGGAACACCAGUGGCGAAGGCGUCUACCUGGCCUAAUACUGACACUGAGGCACGAAAGCGUGGGGAGCAAACAGG
Molecule: ribosomal RNA, 253 nt
Filed under: uncultured bacterium
Lineage: Bacteria
Description: partial 16S ribosomal RNA
Rfam family: Bacterial small subunit ribosomal RNA
Source: RNAcentral